GAAGUGAAGGUCUGAUAAGAAGCUUUAUCUUUCUGGUAAUAUCAAGGGUUAGCCUAAUUUUGGAACAUCAGAAGUUCAGAACUGUUUUCUGUGCAAUAUCUUGUUUGUGUCAGCGUGUCAGAUACCUUAAAUAUCAUAUCGUGUUUGUUCUGUUGGAUGUUUCAAUCAGAGAUGCUUAUGCAGAGUUUGUUAAACCAUUUGGGUUAAUGGUAUUAUAUUAUGCUUUUGAACCUAACAUUCUGUGCGU
RNAcentral lists this long non-coding RNA (247 nucleotides) under Triticum aestivum (bread wheat). Its description in RNAcentral is "long non-coding RNA (TAES_LNC020163)". Lineage: Eukaryota; Viridiplantae; Streptophyta; Magnoliopsida; Poales; Poaceae. The record is from RNAcentral.